GAUGAAGAACGUAGCGAAAUGCGAUAAGUAAUGUGAAUUGCAGAAUUCAGUGAAUCAUCGAAUCUUUGAACGCACAUUGCGCCCAUUAGCAUUCUAGUGGGCAUGCCUGUUCGAGCGUCAUUUCAACCCUUAAGCCCUGUUGCUUAGCGUUGGGAGCCUACAGUACUGUAGCUCCCCAAAGUUAGUGGCGGAGUCGGUUUCACACUCUAGACGUAGUAAUUUUUUCUCGUCUGUAGUUGAGCCGGUCCCCUGCCGUAAAACACCCAAUUUAUCAAGGUUGACCUCGGAUCAGGUAGGAAUACCCGCUGAACCUAAGCAUAUCAAUAAGCGGAGGA
Molecule: unclassified non-coding RNA, 335 nt
Filed under: soil metagenome
Description: partial contains 5.8S ribosomal RNA, internal transcribed spacer 2, and large subunit ribosomal RNA
Rfam family: 5.8S ribosomal RNA (bases 1-120)
Source: RNAcentral